This 253-nucleotide ribosomal RNA is filed under the name uncultured bacterium. RNAcentral's name for it is "partial 16S ribosomal RNA". It matches the Rfam family "Bacterial small subunit ribosomal RNA", at positions 524 to 776 of the family's 1533-position model. The record is from RNAcentral.
UACGUAGGGUGCAAGCGUGGUCCGGAAUUAUUGGGCGUAAAGAGCUUGUAGGCGGUUUGUCGCGUCUGCUGUGAAAUUUCGGGGCUCAACCCCGAACUUGCAGUGGGUACGGGCAGACUAGAGUGUGGUAGGGGAGACUGGAAUUCCUGGUGUAGCGGUGAAAUGCGCAGAUAUCAGGAGGAACACCGAUGGCGAAGGCAGGUCUCUGGGCCACUACUGACGCUGAGAAGCGAAAGCAUGGGGAGCGAACAGG